Molecule: ribosomal RNA, 113 nt
Filed under: Periophthalmus magnuspinnatus
Lineage: Eukaryota; Metazoa; Chordata; Actinopteri; Gobiiformes; Gobiidae
Source: RNAcentral
UGAUAUGGUCACAGAGUCAAAGUCUGAUCUCACCACAUCUCAGAAACUAAGCAAAUCUGGGCCUGGUGAGUAGUCGGAUGAAAGACCUCUGGGAAUACCAGGUGCCACACUGG